GAUGAACGCUGGCGGCGUGCCUAAUACAUGCAAGUCGAGCGAACAGACGAGGAGCUUGCUCCUCUGACGUUAGCGGUGGACGGGUGAGUAACACGUGGAUAACCUACCUAUAAGACUGGGAUAACUUCGGGAAACCGGAGCUAAUACCGGAUAACAUGUUGAACCGCAUGGUUCAACAGUGAAAGACGGUCUUGCUGUCACUUAUAGAUGGAUCCGCGCCGCAUUAGCUAGUUGGUAAGGUAACGGCUUACCAAGGCAACGAUGCGUAGCCGACCUGAAAGGGUGAUCGGCCACACUGGAACUGCGACACGGUCCAGACUCCUACGGGAGGCAGCAGUAGGGAAUCUUCCGCAAUGGGCGAAAGCCUGACGGAGCAACGCCGCGUGAGUGAAGAAGGUCUUCGGAUCGUAAAACUCUGUUAUUAGGGAAGAACAAAUGUGUAAGUAACUAUGCACGUCUUGACGGUACCUAAUCAGAAAGCCACGGCUAACUACGUGCCAGCCGCCGCUGUAA
RNAcentral lists this ribosomal RNA (513 nucleotides) under uncultured bacterium. Its description in RNAcentral is "partial 16S ribosomal RNA". It matches the Rfam family "Bacterial small subunit ribosomal RNA", at positions 28 to 523 of the family's 1533-position model. The record is from RNAcentral.